Molecule: ribosomal RNA, 509 nt
Filed under: Staphylococcus agnetis
Lineage: Bacteria; Bacillati; Bacillota; Bacilli; Caryophanales; Staphylococcaceae
Description: bacterial SSU rRNA
Source: RNAcentral
UUUAUGGAGAGUUUGAUCCUGGCUCAGGAUGAACGCUGGCGGCGUGCCUAAUACAUGCAAGUCGAGCGAACUGACGAGGAGCUUGCUCCUUUGACGUUAGCGGCGGACGGGUGAGUAACACGUGGGUAACCUACCUAUAAGACUGGAAUAACUCCGGGAAACCGGGGCUAAUGCCGGAUAACAUGUUGAACCGCAUGGUUCAACAGUGAAAGACGGUCUUGCUGUCACUUAUAGAUGGACCCGCGCCGUAUUAGCUAGUUGGUAAGGUAACGGCUUACCAAGGCGACGAUACGUAGCCGACCUGAGAGGGUGAUCGGCCACACUGGAACUGAGACACGGUCCAGACUCCUACGGGAGGCAGCAGUAGGGAAUCUUCCGCAAUGGGCGAAAGCCUGACGGAGCAACGCCGCGUGAGUGAUGAAGGUCUUCGGAUCGUAAAGCUCUGUUGUUAGGGAAGAACAUAUGUGUAAGUAACKGUGCACAUCUUGACGGUACCUAACCAGAAAGCC